UGAUUUGUAGAUUCGGCUGAUAAGCUCACUUUUUUUUAGGGAGCUGAAAAACACUGCAGAAAGUACUUAUUGACAGUGUCAUAGUGGGCGUCCAUGUUUCAUCCAUGCGACGUCUUCACCUUUUUUUUUUUGUUUUUUUUGGGGGGGCCAAGUUAGCCCGGACGGACCGCCGGAGUAAUUUUGAACGGAUAAAGUACAAGUCAAACGGGGCUCCCCCCAUUCCUUACGUCGAGAGCUCGAGGUGCUCGCCACGACGGGCUCGCCGGCGCCGUCAUUCCCAGCGAUGGAUUCGUCAAGUCUACCCUGAACCAACCUUCUGCCGCUUCCUCUCGGCGCUGCGCAGGCAUCUCUUCACCCGCCUAAUCCUGACAACAUGAACGACAACAGCGUCGUGUCUACCUGAACGUCGAUGCAUACCAGAUGUUCACGGUUCGCUCUGGGGAAGCCGUCAAGGCGUCAGAGCACCAGUUCAAUGGAAUGACAUGAUUUUGAAGUGUGGACUGGGGACCAUCUUCUCAGCGCGGCUGCCUGAUUAAAUUAGGAAAGUUGUGCUUCUUUGUAUUACGAAGAAAAGGUGUAAGAACCCGUACAGCACACACCCAAUGUUCUAGAAACUUGUUCGUGCUUUAUGCUUACAACAAACAUAUUGCUAAUGCCUCUACUCUGUUUGAAAAUAUUAUAACAGGAAGUGCCGGAAUAUUAACAAUUGGGAGGUACACCGUUCUAAGUUAACAUCUAUUUGCUGAAUAAUAUGAACUUCUGUAUACAUGUAAUCAGAUUCCUGGUUCUUUUUAUAUGCCUAUCGUGAGCAUCCAUAAACUUAUGAUUAAGGAACGGCAGCUUUGGAAAAGUUGGGAAAUUGUCUCCCAUCAAGAUAUGUAAAUAGCUAUUUUUCUUAAGAUCAAUAGUGUAGGGUGUUGUUUCUGCAUAAAAAUAUUUAGUGUCAUGCAUCAGGAUGCCGGUAAGGAUAUAAGAAGUUAGAAAACCAUAUGCAUGUAAAAUAAAAAAAGACGCCAAACCUCAGCAGACAUGAUUCCGUGGUGGCAAUGGAUGCUAUCAUCUGACUGGCUGAAACCACUGCUGGCUUCAAUAAACACGCCAGCAUCCGUUAU
Long non-coding RNA from Sorghum bicolor (sorghum), 1112 nucleotides. RefSeq lists it as uncharacterized. The record is from RefSeq and is a predicted model, not a curated record. Lineage: Eukaryota; Viridiplantae; Streptophyta; Magnoliopsida; Poales; Poaceae. The transcript is spliced from 3 exons.